Long non-coding RNA from Marmota monax (woodchuck), 6478 nucleotides. RefSeq lists it as uncharacterized. The transcript has 2 exons. NCBI's taxonomy places the organism in Eukaryota, Metazoa, Chordata, Mammalia, Rodentia, Sciuridae. The record is from RefSeq and is a predicted model, not a curated record.
GCGCUGGCCAGCACUCUGGCCCACCCCCGGCCCUGGAGGGAGGGCACCAGCCUGCCCACAGCCUCUCCGUUCUUCCCUCACCCCUCGCGGCCCAUCGUGACAGUCCCGGGACUCCGGGAGCCCAGCCCACUCAGCCGCACUUCCACUCUCCCCACCCGGUCUCCCCUGCGCCCCGGGAGCUGGGACUAGCAGCAUCUCCGCUGACACCGAGGCCCUAAACAGCCUCCGGGCAACCUUCUAACACUGCCUUUACGCUCGCCUUCCCCUUACAACCUUGGGGUUACCGGGUCACCUCCUCCCCAGGCACACGCAGCCCAGCACCCCUACUGCCUUCCCUAAGCACCGCCAUUCCAGCCACACCCCCUACGUGGGUAGGACUGUAUCAGCAACAACUGUGGGCUCAGCUGCCCGCAGCCUCCUCCAAGAAGUGAGGCCGGGAGGUUACACCAGAGGCUGGAGGGCUCCAAGCUGGGCCCCGGAUCCUAGCUGUGCCUAACCCAUGCAGGGAUGGCCUCUGGUGGCAGGUUCUUUGCUGGUUGUCAUGAAUCCACUUUUAAAAAAAUUUGUGACAGCGCUCAAGGGCGUUUUAGCUGCCUUUAUGAUUUGAGAAUUGUCAGUUGGAUACUUUCUAGUUAAGAAGAGUUGGAGGGGGAUGAGCUGCUAAAAAGUAUUUUUGAAGACAUGCAAUACACAGGACCAUUACUUCGAAAUGAGGAUAAUGGGGAUGGGGAAAUCAUGUGAGGUUUUGAUAUCAGCAGAGUCAAAUGGCUCCAGGCCAAGUUUGAGGCUCCUGAAUUGGUGGGUAGGGUACUUUCAAUGGGAAGACUUUUUUUUUUUUUCUUAAGUUGGUUAUGCACAAGCAGGAAACGCAGUUAUGCUGGCUUCUACCUUCAGAGGUUUUGUAAAAGCUGGUCUGGGUUAUCGGAAAAAAUAAAAUGUUAAAACAGAAGGCAGUCUUUCUGCCAGUAACUUGUGGAUGCUUUCUGUGUCUACUGUUCCUCCUAGCAAAGUGUUUUUGCUCUAUAAGCAUUAGCGUUGGGUGGAAGAGAGGAAAAGAUUAGAUAAUACCCUAUUUAGUAGCAUUUAAGCAUUUUUAAAGGUUUAAGGCUGAGACGUUAGAUUCUAACCUCAAAAUGUUAUCGCUGUGAGAAAUAGGGUCCGAAUAAUACACCAAAAUAAUUGCUGACAUAACUUUUAAGAGAAUUGAGACUAGCUUCCCAUUUUAUAUAGUUUUUAAUAGUUUUGAAAUCUGCACUUAGUACUUUGUUUACUAGCUUUAAAAACAAUCUUAAUCCAAAAAGUAAAAAAGUGAGACUACAAAAAUAACAAAGAAAAAAAGAUUGGGCUGUACUGACAUCUUCAUGACAAUUCUUCUGGAUAUGUGGUAUUCCAAUCAUGUAUAAUGUAUAGAAAGAAAGUGAGGAAAAAGCAUUGCAUUUUAUAUUAAUAGUUAAUAUUAAAAUAGCUUGCCUUAUUGCUAUACACUCUGUAUGUUACAUAACCACUAGGAAUCUUUGCUGUAUUUUAUUCCUUCACCUUGUAGAAACAGUAAAAAUAUCAAUUAGUUGGUGUACAGGAGGAAAGUCCUAGAAGGCCUUCUUUUUCAAAACAGGCAGCUUAUUUUCCUGUAUUAUCACAUUAGGCUAAGAAGCUUAGCCUGGCACAGUGUCGUGUCCAUCAGGAGGAAACAUUUGAAGGCAGAAAGAGCUUUUCUUCUCUAACAGGCAUUGGGAAAGAUGGCAACUAGAUUGAUGCACAAAACCAGCCUCUGCUGCUUUUCACAAACAAAGAAAAUGGAAUGCCAGCUCCCACCCCCACUCCCAGCAUUAAUCACAUCUUAUUUUGCCCUGUCCUUUGUGGAGUUUUUCCCCUCUUGGAAAUUGCUAUUUAUAGUCAUAUUUUAAAAAUUUUCUCAUAUAAAACAUUGGCCAGGGUUGGGACCAGAGGCAGGUGGGUCAGGGGCUGGAAAGUAGAGGAGGUCUCAAACAAACAAGGUGAUUUACCCUGGUCCUUCCUUUCACAUCUGCUGUCAGCUAGAGAUGACCCUGAAUAUAAAUUGCUGUGUGCCCUUUGCUGAGUGAACUGCAAUUUAGGAGUAGUGCUUAUCCUGGUAUCCUUGGAAACUGGAGAUAAUGAUUCCUCAUUACAGUUAGUUUCUAUAUUUAACUGUGUGCAUGUGUGUGGCUCUCUAGGCACUUUUUCAGUUAGCAUAAUUUUUUUCUUCAUGUUUGUAUUGUAUAAAAAUAACUCUUAUCUUUUUGGAAUAUGUGUAUAUGUAAAAUAUGUGGGAUAUACUGAUAGUGUGACAGUCAAGUGUUUCAAGUAUCCCUGGCUUCUUUUUCGUCUUACUUAUCUUUAAUUCCUUUAAUUAUUAGCUGUCUUAUUUGCCAUACAAUAAAUUCAAAGGGAAAAAUUUGUAAGGUGGUACUUCAAGACAGAACUAGUGGAGCAAGGGUGAUUCAUAGCCUCAGAUAUGCCUGAUUUGGUGGACACACUGAACCCCGUUUAUAUGUUUAUAUGUGGUAGUUAUUAGUUUAACUUUGCUCAUUGUAGAAGGUAAUUGAAGUUUUCCUUUUAAAUGCUAACAUUUAAAUUGUUGUGAUUAUUUUUAAACUUUCAUUCUGUUAUAAUUUCAAAUUUACUAAAAACUUGCUAGAGUAUUAUAAUAACUGCCACAUAUUCUCAUGUAACCAUUUUGGUUUCCAUUUUUUCUAUAGUGUAUUACUUCUCUGCUCUCUUUAUGGGCAGGUGCUAGGAGACAUUGACUGUUGUGUUGUGUACUCACAUUUCCAUGUUUGCUUAUGCUUUUACUUAAGUAAUUUUUACAAAAUCAUGAAGAACGACAAGUUCCGAGGUCAUCUAGGCCAACCUCUUCCUGUAUCAUGGAUGAAGCAGUUUAAUGUUCAAAGUUGCUACAAGUUCUGUCCUGUUCCCGAGUUACCCAGUGAAGGUGUCAGCUGUGACUUUCACUGCUGUGGCACACAUAUCAAAAUGUCUCCCUUCUUACCAAACGCCUCACCAAAUAUCCUAACCCAGUGAAUUUGUAUAGCAGGUCUUUUUAAUACUCUUGUUGUUGUUUAGUAAGAAUUAACACAGCUCUGAAAAUAGCUAAUAGCCUUUAUACAAUGAUUUCAGAGUUUUAGAAGGCUAUAUAGUUUGGGCCAAAGAGUGAAUAUUUCUGGCUUUGCUAGCCAUGUGGUAGAGAGCAGCCAUAGAAAAUACUUAACAAAUUGGCCGUGGUUGUGUUCCAGUAAAACUUUAUUGACAAAAAUAGUUGGCAAAUCAGAUAUUUGCCGACUUUUGGGGUAUGUUAGAAGUUAUACCAUUAGAGCAUUGAGGCUUUAACUCAUUAGCAAAAUGGUCUUUCUUAAUAAACAUUCCUCAACAAUGAUUGCAAUUUCUUAUAUUGUACACAUUACUGGAGAUAUUUAAGAAUUAAAAGAAGUAAUCCACAAACUUAAGAAUCAGUUUGGGGUAUAUAUAAUUGUGUUUUCUAUUUUUCAUGCAAACAAAUAUCUCUGAGGAUAAAAUAUAUAAAACCUUAUAUUCUAUUAAGCUGUGAUCUACCAUUAACUCAAGGCCAUUGCAAGUUCAAAGAUGGAGAUUGAAGGGUCUCUAAAGUGCCUUCCAGCAGGAAAUGAAUUCGAGCCAUGCAGAAAGGAACAUUAUUAUUAUUUGUAAAUUAUCACUUUAUAAACUAUGUAGGACAUUAAGGCUUUUUUCUUUAUUUUUUUUAAGAGCAGACAGAUGACCUUGGGAAUAUAGAUGUUACUAUCUAUAUGUAGUAAAAUAAUUUAAAAUUAAACAGAAGGCACAUACAUAGAAAAAUGAUGCAUAUAAAACAUUUGAUUCCUAAGUUCUUUUAAGCAUGAUUUCUUAUUGGCAAUAGCAUUGCCAAAUACAUAUAUUCUGUGAUUUUUCUUGAUAUUGUUAAAUAUUUUAAAAGUUGAAGUUUAUUAACCAAGGGUUUAAAAUCUCAACAUUUCUUCAAAUCUAAAAUUCAAAUGUGCAACCUAAAAUAUGUUCCAAAUUCUUGAUCUAUACUACAUUUGACAUUAAUAUAAAUGGUUCAGGGGGAGGGAGGGACAUAGGAGAAAAGAUGCUACUUAAAUUUUUCUUGGUUCCAUUUAGUGUGUCAUCAAAUUAUUUUUCUUUUGCUGUACUAGACAAGACAUCAUUACUGUUUGUUUAACUUCUAUUAGAGAUAAUUUAUAUAAAGCAAUUACCUUAGACUUAGCAUGUAGGGAUGCUCAGCAAAUGUUAAAUAAACUAAUUUUUUGUGAAUUUUUUUUACUUACUUUUAUUUAACCUCUUUGGAGUAUGAGAACAUCCAGUUACAUGGUGGAAAUAAAUAGAGAAUCAGAUCUUGCUGUCAGAACUCAAUUUAAACUAAGGCUUAUUGUAGCAAGGUUUGCUUUCAAAAGCUUCCUGAAAAUGACAUUCAUGCCAUUAAAUAGGUGCAUGUUUCUAGUAAUUAAAAGCUGAGGGAGAUUUCUUAAAUCAAGGUAAUUGUCUCUAGGGAAGGUGUGUCCACAGGGUUAGAAAGGAGUCAACUUGUGAAGCUUGCAGAAGGUUCAUUCAAAACCAUUCAUUGACCCCUUGUUAUAUGCCAAGUGUUUUCCUCCCUAGAUGACUUAGAGGAGAGCUUAAUAGAGAUCUUUUCCUAAUAGCCAAGAAAAAAAAUUGCCUGUGGGAAAGAAUACAAAACUUCAAGCCUUUGCCAGCUUGGGCAGGAGGCAAGAGGUGUUACCUUUCAGAAUGACCCUUCUGGGUGAGUGGUAGGAGAGCAGAAAUGGAAUAUGAGACACAGCACUCCUGGGAACCUGGGUAUUGGUUUUGGACCAAUGUGAAAGGGUAAUUAGUAAAGAAAAUGCAAAGACUGAAGGGACUCUUAGGUAAUAAUGAAUUCAAGUCAUGUUAUAAAUCUUAAUACACACACACACACACACGUAUGUAUGUAUAUCAUGUAUAUCUCAGAGGUAGUUUAUGACCAGCAGUUUUUGCCCCUGCUUCCAACUGGGUAGUUGUUUUAGCUCCCAUGCUUCUUACAUGAUGCUUGGUUGGGCCACUUUUACUCUGCUGUCAGCCCAGGGCUUGUGACUUGGGUGAAACUGGGCAGAGAACUUCAUGAAUAUAAUUAAUUGAAUCUGUGAAAAGACUGGAAGACCUAGUUUGGAAAAUGGACAGAAACCAAGAAAAGGUUGGUGAAGCCAAGCUGAGAUUAUUCUGGAAUGGCCUUCUGAAGGAGCCACUGCCCUAGUGACUGGCCACCAUGGAGCUCUGGAACCAUCACUUCUGCCUGCAGCUUUGAAAAGUGGUUCCACUUCAGCUCCACAGGCUGAGUGCAGCUUGUUGUAGCCAUGUCACAGGCCGUAGGUUUCAGCAAGCACAGGUGUUUGAUCUCUUUUGCUUUCCAUGAAGACAAAUAGUGCCAGGAAGACUAAAUAAGUAGAUAAAACAAAAAACAAAGCAACAGCAACAAAAAUGGAAAGUAUUUUCCAGAGGUUAAUGUAUAAGAAGUUGAGAUGUUCUCUCCACUGAUUUUUUUGUUUGUUUCACUUGUUUGUGUUUUUCAUCUUGAUGGAAAAUUUGUGAUUUCCCUUCACAGAAAAAUGGAACUAUGGCUUAGAUUUCAUAAUUUAUACUGCUGAUUUCAUGUACUUUGACAGUUGAAUCACAUCUCCCAGCCUUCUUUUCUGUAGGAAUUGGUGGGUUCAUGGUUCCCUUGAGAUUCUGGCACAUUCUUUGUGAUGACUGUAAAAAUAACUGCCUCGUCUAACUUGAAAAUGACAGAAUAGAAUAUGGCAUAGAUUCUUCAUGCUGUCCGUUGGGAAAGCAAGAUUUCAAAGAUCAUUAGAAAGACAGUUUUAAUAUUAUGUGAAAUUAUAUUAUUGCAUAUUAUAAUUUAGAAAUAGUACAGAGAAUUAAUAAAAACAUAACAAUUGGAGUUUUUUAGUAGUCCAUUAGAAAAACUGUUGAAAUAUGUUUUCUAACUCCUUCAGGGGAGUUUUAUUAACAUGUAUUUAUUGUUACAUCAAUCAGAUGCCCACAGUGGAAAAAGUGGGCAGAAAAAAAUUAUCAAGGCAGAAGGUAGGAGUCUGGGGCAGUGGCAGAAGGUAGAUGCCCUGAUUUUUAAAAAAAAUAUAUGAUAGCAAUAAAGAAGGCAACUGUGAUGGCCUGAGGGUUCUCAUUUAAAAAUUAUAGCACCACAUUUUUGUAACACUUAUGUAGCUUCUUUCCUAAUUUGACUUUUCACUUGAUUAUAGCUUUUAAAUUCAGUUAUAAAUAUUAGUGCCCAAGGUGUUACAAAUCUGUUUUUAUUUGGGAGAUAAAUAUAUAUGCUGUGUUUAUUGUGAGCAAAAAUAAUAUGCUGUGUUUAUCAUCUUAGCACUCCUUUGCACUUCUCUACUUAACGAUUGUUCAUUUUAGAUAUGUCGUUGAUUAUAUUUUAAAAAUACAAAUGAAGUGCUUUGGUCAA